This 95-nucleotide small nucleolar RNA is filed under the name Camelus bactrianus (Bactrian camel). Lineage: Eukaryota; Metazoa; Chordata; Mammalia; Artiodactyla; Camelidae. RNAcentral also lists the same sequence under 1 other name. The record is from RNAcentral.
GGACCCCCAUGAUGUCCAGCACUGGGCUCUGAUCUCUGGUGAGGACAUGGUGCCCCCGCCCCGGGACCUUUGACCCCUGGGGUUCUGAGGGGUCC